Molecule: unclassified non-coding RNA, 376 nt
Filed under: uncultured Actinomycetes bacterium
Lineage: Bacteria; Bacillati; Actinomycetota; Actinomycetes
Description: uncultured actinobacterium contains 16S-23S intergenic spacer region
Source: RNAcentral
UCCGGCUCAACGCCGGCAGUCUCUCUAGAGUCCCCACCAUUACGUGCUGGCAACUAGAAGCAGGGGUUGCGCUCGUUGCGGCACUUAAGCCAACACCUCACGGCACGAGCUGACGACAGCCAUGCAGCACCUGUGCUAGCCCCUUUCGGACACGGGCUUUCACCCGCUUUAACUAGCAUGUCAAGCCUAGGUAAGGUUCCUCGGGUUGCAUCGAAUUAAGCCGCAUGCUCCGCCGCUUGUGCGGGGACCCGUCAAUUCCUUUGAGUUUUAGCCUUGCGGCCGUACUCCCCAGGCGGGGCGCUUAAUGCGUUAGCUACGGCACGGAUUCCGUGGAAGGAACCCACACCUAGCGCCCACCGUUUACGGCGUGGACUAC